Long non-coding RNA from Protopterus annectens (West African lungfish), 1191 nucleotides. RefSeq lists it as uncharacterized. The record is from RefSeq and is a predicted model, not a curated record. The transcript is spliced from 2 exons. NCBI's taxonomy places the organism in Eukaryota, Metazoa, Chordata, Ceratodontiformes, Protopteridae.
UCCCAUGAUUGUGAGUGAGCGACUAUCGGUACUGCAAGCCAUCUUAAAAAAAAAAUUACUCUCACGCUUGCAUAAGCCUCCGACAAGUCGCCCAUCAGUCAGACUAGCUAUUUACAACAUAUACGCUUUCCUCUUCUGUUUUCUCCCUGGAAAUGCCCACGCUAUAAUUAUGCACACCCUCAGAAGCAUCAACAUUUAAUUGUGCCCUUUACACUGCCUUCCUAUGAGUAUAGAAAGGCCCAUAACAAAAAGCAGGAACUUCUUUAGCGGAUAGCUGUUGAUGCACGGCUUUGUUUUCCUAUUGGAUUAGAGCAUAGCUACGGACUUUGCAGAGACUUACUUUCAAAGUGUACGAGCAGCCGUUAUUGUCGGGAAUUAAUUGCACUUAUUUUCUGAAGCUGUACAGCCGUUUUGGAUCAUGCUGCAUGAAGUUGAAGCUUCCUGGUCAACCUGCAGCUGUAAAAGUGGGAGAGUGCUCACCCUCCUUGCGCUAUGGUUCCGGCACCCUUGAUGGACAGGACUAUGGAAGUGGAGGGAGAGUGCAAACACUACAGUACAGUUGGGAAAGACCCAGAGACAGGAUGCCGAGAACAACCCAGACUUUAUGGACUGAGAAAAAUAAAUUAAUUAAAACAAAUCAAUAUAUAAAAAUUGCACCUUUUAUAAGGCCGCUCUGUAUGGAGCCCUAGGCACUCAACUACUUUGCCUAUGCCUAAGACCGGCUGUGACCCAAGAAUGUGAUAAAAAAGCCUUUUAGUACCAAAUGGAUCAAGUUAUGUGACUGGACCAGAGAUUGUGAUAUCAUAGCCAUUCUGUACCAAAUGUGUGAAGCUCUGUCACUGUACCCAAGAAUGUGAUAACAUAGCACCUCUGAUUGUAAAGGGUUAAAUCUUACCCUUCUGAUGGUGCAUGCACAUGUGAGACAGGAAGGUUUGUGUAUUUGAAAGAGAAUGUUUUUGCUGAACAAGCAAGUCAGCUGGAACACUAAAACAGUUACAAAUGUUUCUACCCAUUAUAUCUGAAGCAGCAUUCUUUCUACUUGUUUUACCACAGAGUCAAAAAUUUUGUUUAAAGUACUGCUAAUUUAUUUCAGUACAACUGAUGUAUUUUAUAAUUGAUAUUUACAACUGAUCUAAUGAAUAACCAUAUUGUACAAUGUACUAGUAAACAAUUUCUUAUUGGUCAACAGCA